RNAcentral lists this ribosomal RNA (410 nucleotides) under Verrucomicrobiota bacterium. Its description in RNAcentral is "Verrucomicrobia bacterium partial 16S ribosomal RNA". It matches the Rfam family "Bacterial small subunit ribosomal RNA", at positions 355 to 776 of the family's 1533-position model. Lineage: Bacteria; Pseudomonadati; Verrucomicrobiota. The record is from RNAcentral.
UGGGGAAUCUUGCACAAUGGGCGAAAGCCUGAUGCAGCGACGCCGCGUGCGGGAUGAAGGCCUUCGGGUUGUAAACCGCUUUCAGCAGGGACGAGGCCGCAAGGUGACGGUACCUGCAGAAGAAGCCCCGACUAACUACGUGCCAGCAGCCGCGGUAAUACGUAGGGGGCAAGCGUUAUCCGGAUUCAUUGGGCGUAAAGCGCGCGUAGGCGGUCUGUUAGGUCAGGAGUUAAAUCUGGGGGCUCAACCCCUAUCCGCUCCUGAUACCGGCAGGCUUGAGUCUGGUAGGGGAAGAUGGAAGUCCAAGUGUAGCGGUGAAAUGCGCAGAUAUUUGGAAGAACACCGGUGGCGAAGGCGGUCUUCUGGGCCAUGACUGACGCUGAGGCGCGAAAGCUAGGGGAGCGAACAGG